Mauremys mutica (yellowpond turtle) is the source of this 163-nucleotide small nuclear RNA. RefSeq annotates it as U1 spliceosomal RNA. The record is from RefSeq and is a predicted model, not a curated record. The transcript has a single exon. Lineage: Eukaryota; Metazoa; Chordata; Testudines; Geoemydidae.
AUACUUACCUGACAGGGGAAAUCCAUGAUCACCAAGGUGGUUUUCCCAGGGUGAGGCCCAUCCAUUGCUCUGUGGGUGAGUUGACCUCUGUGAUUUCCCCAAAUGUGGGAAACUCAACUGCAGAAUUUGUGGUCGUGGGGGACUGCGUUCGCACUUUCCCCUG